RNAcentral lists this long non-coding RNA (411 nucleotides) under Mytilus galloprovincialis (Mediterranean mussel). Lineage: Eukaryota; Metazoa; Mollusca; Bivalvia; Mytilida; Mytilidae. The record is from RNAcentral.
AUUUUUCUGACUCAAAAUAUUAGAAGUCACAUUGUCCGUUUUAAUUCUUGCAUUACAGUUUUUAACGGUACAUCUCCAUGAAAGGUCUCCAAUUUUUAGGGUUUGGUCCAAACGAUAUAAAAAUCCAUCAAGACAUAUACAUUGUUUUUCCUUUACUAGUCACUAUAACUUUAAACUCCAUGUUCAAGACUGUGUCAAUGAACUAACUAAUGACAAAUAUAAGUUAAAUUUAUUUACGUAAUGAAUACUUCUCAUUUUAAGAUUGCAGGUAGUCGACUAUACGUAAAAAGCGCAAAUGUCCGGUCAAUUUAAUACAGGUGAAUCAAAAUUAAAAGCGCAAAUGUCCAUACUAUUUGAAACGCAAAUGUCCUAUCGUUUUACAGGUAAAAAAGCGCAAACGUCCUGUGCCCG